GGUGUUUGUAUAGUGUCUUGAGCAGCUGAUGCAGCCAUGCCGCGUGUAUGAAGAAGGCCUUCGGGUUGUAAAGUACUUUCAGCGGGGAGGAAGGGAGUAAAGUUAAUACCUUUGCUCAUUGACGUUACCCGCAGAAGAAGCACCGGCUAACUCCGUGCCAGCAGCCGCGGUAAUACGGAGGGUGCAAGCGUUAAUCGGAAUUACUGGGCGUAAAGCGCACGCAGGCGGUUUGUUAAGUCAGAUGUGAAAUCCCCGGGCUCAACCUGGGAACUGCAUCUGAUACUGGCAAGCUUGAGUCUCGUAGAGGGGGGUAGAAUUCCAGGUGUAGCGGUGAAAUGCGUAGAGAUCUGGAGGAAUACCGGUGGCGAAGGCGGCCCCCUGGACGAAGACUGACGCUCAGGUGCGAAAGCGUGGGGAGCAAACAGGAUUAGAUACCCCGGUAGUCUAA
This 448-nucleotide ribosomal RNA is filed under the name Pseudomonas sp. RNAcentral describes it as "bacterial SSU rRNA". It matches the Rfam family "Bacterial small subunit ribosomal RNA", at positions 359 to 798 of the family's 1533-position model. Lineage: Bacteria; Pseudomonadati; Pseudomonadota; Gammaproteobacteria; Pseudomonadales; Pseudomonadaceae. The record is from RNAcentral.